CAGAGGAAACAAAUAUGUUUCUCGUCAUUCGCAAUGUUAUGUUCUGCUGACUUCUUUUUGGAAGUAAAGGAGUUCUGGCUAUGGGGAUGUUCUUCUGGCUCAUCUUUGAUUGAAUGUUACGUAUGUACCUGCUUUUAUAAUAUAUUAAAUAUAUAAACAAACCAAGCUAGAAUUUAUUUUGUCUUGCUUGUUAGAGAUGGUUGUAGAAAUUAAUUUGCUUUGCUGCUGACCUGUUUGUUUGAUACCAAUUAGUAGGUGUUUCCUCCUAUCUGAAAGAGUGCAGUAACAGCUGAAGUUGCUCUUGACUACAAAACUGGCCUACUUGACCCACGUGAUUUAAUAUUGCAAUUAAACUCACAUAACUAACAAAGCUACAGAGCUUUGUCAUAGCUAGAUAAUGGUGAUGAGGAGUAAUUCUGAUUUUCCUUACAAACUCACCAGAUCUACACAUUCUUUCUUCUACUCAAUUUUGUCAAUUUUUAUCAGGAAAAAAGAGAACACGCACCUCCACUACAGAAAAUGCAUCUGGUUGUUGUUUGAUGUUACAGUCUUUGGAUCUGUAUGUCACAAGAACUAACUGUUCUCUCAGCUUUUUCAUAUUAUUGUGAAGUUAGGUAACAGUAGGAGAUGUUUUUCAUCUUAUGAGAUUAUUUUUAGCUUUA
Molecule: long non-coding RNA, 662 nt
Organism: Tympanuchus pallidicinctus (lesser prairie-chicken)
Lineage: Eukaryota; Metazoa; Chordata; Aves; Galliformes; Phasianidae
Exons: 2
Source: RefSeq, a predicted model, not a curated record